This 4318-nucleotide long non-coding RNA is filed under the name Canis lupus familiaris (dog). RNAcentral describes it as "lncRNA (ENSCAFG00000050121.1, ENSCAFG00845029536.1)". Lineage: Eukaryota; Metazoa; Chordata; Mammalia; Carnivora; Canidae. The record is from RNAcentral.
AAAACCUAUUUCAGCAUGCCAAUUGUGUUGCAAUGUGUUAUUUAUUUUCUGAAGAUGUCCCAGCAAAUCUCCAGUUAAUUCCCUGGCAUAACUGUUCUGUAUAGUAAUGAUUGCAUCUUCCUUACAAAAACUGCCCCACCCAUGCCAGUUCCUCUCCCUCUAUUCCUUCAUGUGACUGUUCUUUGACUUCCCUAGUGGAAACAUAGACUGGUCUCCUCCUCAUUCUCUGAAUCACCAUGUUACUUUUUAGGUUUAUGCAAUAGAAGUGCCCAGUUCAGGUCCAUGAAACAUCAGUGCGUGAUACAGUCUUCCGAGUGCUUCAGAAGAGCCAUGUUUGAAUGUCAGUUGGUGGGAUCAGGGUGAAAAUCAGACAGAUAGGUACAGCUCAGAUAUCCUGGGGAACCAGGUAUAGAGAAAACAAGUGUGAAAUGAGGAAAAUUGCACAAUUCAGAUUAGUAUUGCCAUGGAGACAAUUUCCACAAACAAGGAAAAGUAGAGCGUUAAGGCUAUUAUAUGGGUAAUUCAAGAAAGGAAAGUUUGUGUCCUACUAGAAGCAGACAGAUCUUCACAAAUGCUUCCCUUAGUUCUUUGGUCUUUAACAGACUCCCUUUGGAGUUCGUGAGAGAGGUACGGGAAAUGGGAAAUGGCUGGUCCCUGAUGCCAUGCCCUAGUCCUCUGUCCUUGCCUCCUCUCCUCCAGCAAAACAGACUGUUACAGUCAGCAUUAGAGUCCUUCAGUGUGUCAGAGGCAUUUGCUGUUUCUGAGGCAGCCCAGCAAUUGAGGGUCCUGUGCUUGGUGAGACCAAUAAAAAAGACAGACACCUUUCCCAUGGUCUUUGAAAGAUGAUAACUUAUUUCAUGCACACUGGCCUAAAAAGUCUGUGUCUGAUUUUCUUCAACAAGCUCUCUAGGUUUUCCUCCAGUUUUGUGAAAAAUUAAAAUUCCCUUGAAAAUAUUUUGACAAAAACAAAAGGAACAUCUUUUUUUAAGUUUUUUUUUAAUUUACCUAUUCAUGAAAGACACAAAUAGAGAGAGAGAGGCAGAGGCAGAGGGAGAAGCAGGCUCCAUGCAGAGAGCCCAACGCGGGACCCGAUCCCGGGACUCCAGGAUCAGGCCCCGGGCCGAAGGCGGCACUAAACCUCUGAGCCACCUGGGCUGCCCAAAAAGGAACAUUUUUCCUUCGUUUUCCUUCUACUGCCACACAUACAGUUCCUUCAGAGUUAUGCAAAGGAAGUAGUUUGUCCCUAUGAUUCCUAACCUGUCCCCGUAUUCUGAUAUUCUAGCCAGCUCUGAAUUCAUUUUGCUUUCCACUAUCUGAACAGGCUUCCCACGUACUUAGAACUUGGAAACAUUGCUGUGUUUAAUAUCCUCUUAACACUAAGGCAUACAUAAAAUAAGUACCAUUUAUGGAAGGCCUUUGGGGGUGAUAGGAGCAGUUCUAGGACCUUUACAAACAUCCCAUUUAAUCUUUCAAGCACCCUUUGGGAUAGGCAUGAUGCCAUGUUUAUAAACAAAGAAGGCAGGGGUCAGAGAUGUGAAGCAUCUUGCCCAGGCUCUUGCUGCCAGUAAACAGCACAGCCAGGACUCACACCCAGGUUUCCCUAACCUGCAGCUCCCUAACCUGCAGCCUGACUUUGCUCCUGGAUGUUUACUGUGUCCUAUCCCAGCCAACCCAGGGUGAUGAUCCUGCUUGACUUUGUUAGUAGCUCCAAGCGGCCUCACAUCAAAAGGAGCAAAAGUGACAUAGCUCUACGUAGGACUUUUCCUUUUUUCCCCCCUUUGCUUAAGCAAAGGGAGCUGCUAGAGGAAGGUCUGAGCCUUGAUCUUUUAUAACUACUCACUUAUAAAAUGAAUGGCUGUUGAAGUAGGCUAGGCUUGUGUCCAAGUGAAAUCUGUGGAGGAGUCAGGUUCAUGUUCCUCACCUACCCUUUUGGUGUUCAUGGUGUUAUACCCCUGAAUGGACCUUUAUCCUUGAGCCACCCCCAGCUACAGUGUUCACUGUAGACCUGGGCUGCUGGGAGAUCUCCACAUGCUACUCACUUUUUUCCCCUGAUACCAGAACAAAUCAGUACCUCACUCUUACCCCCUAAUAAGGCCCUGAUAAAAGACUGGCCCUUCCUGAAGUGCUGACUGGUGAACAGAAGGCCAUUGAGCCACUAACAUAGGGUAAUCCUUGAUUUUUGUACCAUCUUUCCUAUAUCACACUACACAUCAACAUGAUUCUGAAUGCCAAAUUCACACCUUUGCCUGCCAUCCGAUAUGGUGGCUCUGCUUGUCGUGCACAAUUCUGGCAGUAACUGGGGGAAACGCUUCCUACCUUCCCCAAGGUCACUCCUUGCCACCUUCCAGCAACCAAGCUCACAUGAGCUCCAGCUUUACCCAGGCUGUGCCGCUCUUUUUGGUAGGGAAGGAAAAAGGUAAGAGCCACGGUUGAGGAGGAUUCUCGGAAAGAGGUACUGCUGUGGCUUCUCCUACCACUUAAAAUGUUGAGACAGGAUAGUUGUAGGGACAAGGGUACCUGUGCAAAAUCAUAAAUAGGACUUUUAUAAAAUUCAGUUCACUGUAUUUCAGUAUUUGACUUUGGCUAAACAGCUUAUCAGCCUGCUGGGAGUCUUGGUAAUUACUAUUGAUUGGUACUUCAUGCUAAGCAUAUUAUAUGCAUUGUCUAAUUAAAUCCUCAACAAUUACCCUACAUGAUAGAUAUUUUGGUUAUCCUGCCUCUUUGUGUAAAAACUGAAGACGUCCUGUUUACUUAAACUUGUGUUUUCAUGUACCUAUAGGGAUUAAUCAGGAAAUUUAAAAAGGCGCUUUUUUUAUACCUUUUCCUCCUUGGAGCUCCCCAUACUAAUUAAUGGGUAAAACAGUGUUAUUUGUACCUGGAAUCUUUGCUUUUGGUGCUCUGGUGCUGAGGUAAGAAAUGAGCACUCAGUGGGUCCCGGUGGUAGUUGCACACUGUAUAAACAGAGGGCAUACAUCUCAUCUGCACUCUGCUGAGUUACAGGAUCUUGGGAGACAUUCCUAUCUACCUGAUAAUUUCAUUUAUUACCUUUCAUUUACUUUGAUAUUUACCUUCCAGUAUUUUUUCUUCCCACAGUUUUUCCAGAAAUGCAAUUAAUUCAUAAGGCCAAGUCACGUUCUUAGUAUGAAUUACUUUCAAUUCCCCUGCAUUUUUAGUAACUCCCUUGUCUAUUUAGUGUCUCAAAAGAAGAACUUAGCAACGGAGACUUUUUCUAAAAUGGAGGUGUGGUCUGGUCGUAAGUUAUCAUCCCUUUCCACAAAUAACUGAUUCAGUCUGGUUUCUAGAUGAAAAAUGUUACAAGACCCAGAUGUCGGGAAACCAUGAAGCUGUGUUUCAACUAUGAAGAUAAAUCUGCUUCCUGCAUCUGUUGAGAUAUACUAUAAUUACAAUUGUUCAUAAAUGCCAUACCUUAUCUCUCUUUUAACAAAUUGCACAAGUCUUGCCAAAAUAAAUGCCAUUAUCCGUAUGUAUGCUUCAGGGAAUCCUCCCAAUUUGAUCAGUGUGUUUGUGUGUGCAUCUGGGGCGGGAGGGAGGGAGAAGUAGGGAGAGAGGGAGAUGGAGAGAUGGUAAACAUCUCCAAAAGGAUGAGAGUCCUUGGAUGACAUGGGUAUGUAUUCCUUCUGGUAAUAAUUAAGCUAUUCCAGGCAACAGUGUCAUUCUGGAAAUAAAAAGGUUUCCUGUUGAAAACUUUGCCAAGGAGCAGCGCACCUUGAAAUUCUCCCUGAGGUUGAUGUGUGUCUAAUUCCAUCUCAUAAAACUGUUCAUUUUGAAGCUUUGGCUGUAACGUCAGAAAUGUACUAAAUAAAAACUAUUUAAUUUAGAGAAGUAAAGGGAAGAAAUAAACCUCUUUAUGUAAGCUUCAAGGUGUUAGGGCUUAGAGGGCUUUUCUAGUUUCAUGAGAAUUUGUACUACUGAUUUUUAUAUAUUCCUAUUUUUGAGAUGAACAGAUCUCUGGGGGAAAUUGUUGCAUUACAAUGGUGUUUCACUGUGACCCCUAUCAAGCUCAAAUCUGUUCUCUAAGCCAAUGACAGCUUGUCACUUCUGUUUACUGUCCUGUGAAAAGUCAGCUCCAGUUUCCCAGAAGUUGUGUGUUUAUGAUGAGUCAUUGCUUCUCCUCAGUGUGAAAGUUGUCAGCCCUUUUGAUUUGGGUGUACAUGCUUAAAAGUAUCUAAACUUGUAUUCUAAUCUGUACAUGCUCUCCUAACUGUUAAAUUGUGUUAUUGACUACUUUGGUUAUCUUGCUUGAAGAUUGAUUCCUACUUUUUAAUUUGAUAGAAAUAAAGGUUUUUUUUUCUGCUUA